UGACGGGCCGGUGCCGGGGAGGGGGCAAGCGCCAGGGGGGGGGAUGGUGUUCGGAGGGCAAUGCAAGUUUCACGGGUUGUGAGAAGUUUGUGGGCUGUAAAGGUCAUCAAUCCAGUCUGCCUCAGUGAGACACCUGGGACUUACCCCCGUGCCCUGGAUCACUGUCACAGCAGCUCAGAAGCCCAUCAACAAACAGUUACUAGCUGUCUCCAUUCGGGUGUGUCAUCAGGGACAGGAGACAAAUAGCUGAUCUCCAAAAAGAAGGAAUCUGCUAUUCUGAAUACCUG
This is a long non-coding RNA of Zalophus californianus (California sea lion), 287 nucleotides long. RefSeq lists it as uncharacterized. The record is from RefSeq and is a predicted model, not a curated record. The transcript is spliced from 3 exons. Lineage: Eukaryota; Metazoa; Chordata; Mammalia; Carnivora; Otariidae.